Molecule: long non-coding RNA, 2767 nt
Filed under: Pan troglodytes (chimpanzee)
Lineage: Eukaryota; Metazoa; Chordata; Mammalia; Primates; Hominidae
Description: long non-coding RNA NONPTRT014371
Source: RNAcentral
GUGGACUGUAUGUGAUUGACCUGACAAGAGCUGAGGGAGAAAAUAGACCUAUUGCCACUCUUGACUUAACUUUAGAACCUGUCACUCCUUCCCAGAGGGAGCCAACCAGUCUUCAGACAUGUGCCAGCCUCUCUGGCAAAGCGGUGAUGGAAGGGCAGGUGGACAGAAGCUCUCAGCCUACAGCACGGAGACUCAUUAACAGUGACCCUGUAGAUUUGGACCUAGUGGAAGAAAACACCUUUGUAGGUCCCCCACCCGCUACAUCCAUCAGCGGAGGCUCUGUUUAUCCAACAGAGCCUAAUUGUAGCUCAGCCACAUUCACAGGGAACCUCAGCUUCUUGGCAAGCCUACAGCUGUCUUCAGAUGUUAGCUCCCUCUCCCCAACAAGCAAUAAUAGUAGCAGCAGCAGCAGCAGCAGCAAUCAAAAAGCACCCUUGCCAUGCCCACAGCAAGAUGUGUCUCGCCCACCACAAGCCUUGCCUUGCCCACUGAGAGCCUCACCUUGUCCACCACGAGCCUUGUCAUGCCCAUCACAAACCAUGCAGUGCCAACUACCAGCUCUAACUCACCCACCUCAAGAAGUGCCAUGCCCUCGGCAGAAUAUCCCAAGCCCACCUCAAGACUCGUUAUGGCAUCCUCAACACUCACCAAGCCCACCUCAAGACUCUCUGGGCCUACCUCAAGAUGUGCCAGGCCCGCCUCAAAGCAUAUUACAUCCACAAGAUGUGGCAUACCUGCAAGACAUGCCACAGUCACCAGGAGAUGUGCCACGGUCACCAGGAACCAUGCCACCAUCACCAGAUGUGCCACAGUCACCAGGAGACAUGCUAGGGCCACCAGGAGAUGUGCCACAGUCACCAAGUUAUGUUUCACCGUCACCAGAUGCACCACAGUCACCAGGGGGCAUGCCACACUUACCGGGAGAUGUGUUAUGUUCACCUGGAGACAUGCCACACUCAUCAGGGGACGUGACACACUCACCUAGAGACAUCCCUCACUUACCAGGAGACAGGCCUGACUUUACCCAGAAUGAUGUACAGAACCGUGACAUGCCUAUGGAUAUCUCAGCUCUGUCCUCUCCAAGCUGCUCUCCCAGCCCACAGUCUGAAACUCCCUUAGAGAAAGUUCCUUGGCUCUCUGUCAUGGAAACCCUAGCCAGAAAAGAAAUAUCACUGUCAGAGCCUGCCAAACCUGGGUCUGCCCACGUACAAUCACGAACACCACAAGGUGGGUUGUACGACAGACCAUGCCUGCAUAGACUGAAGUACUUCUUACGACCUCCGGUUCAUCACCUCUUCUUUCAGACGCUAAUACCGGAUAAAGACACAAGAGAGAACAAGGGUCAAAAAUUAGAACCCAUCCCUCAUCGAAGACUAAGAAUGGUAACAAAUACCAUUGAAGAGAAUUUUCCUCUGGGGACUGUGCAGUUUUUGAUGGACUUUGUGUCACCCCAGCAUUACCCACCAAGAGAAAUCGUGGCUCACAUCAUCCAGAAAAUCUUGCUCAGUGGCUCUGAGACUGUGGAUGUCCUAAAGGAGGCCUACAUGCUUCUCAUGAAAAUUCAACGGCUACAUCCAGCCAAUGCCAAGACAGUGGAGUGGGACUGGAAACUGCUCACCUAUGUCAUGGAGGAAGAGGCAUGAGGGCUGAGAUAGCAAAAAGGCCAUGUGUCCGUCCAUUUGGCCUUUUGGGAAACAGUCUGCAGUGGAGUCGACCCUCCGUGAAGGGAAGGCCUGAUGGCGUCUGAUUGAUCCUGCUAGGGAGGGCUCCUACUGGCUCUGGGGGCUUAGCAUCCCCACGCCCACUCCCCUGCCUCAUUCUGGCUUCACCAUCUCUCCCUUGGACUGGGUGCUCUCCUUCCUCAGACUCCACCCUGCAGUCCACCCUGGCUCCCCCAAAGGAUCUGUGUCAUAGAACACAGGUAAGUGUUCAAAAGUUCUCCCCUGGCCGGGCUCACACACAUAAUUCCAGCACUCUGGGAGGCUGAGGCGGGCAGAUUGCAAACAUAGUGAAACCAUCUCUCUACUAAGAAAAUACAAAAAAUUAGCCAGGCGUGGUCCCACAUGCCUGUAAUCCCAGCUACUCCGGAAGCUGAGGCAGGAGAAUCUCGAACCCGGGAGGCAGAGGUUGCAGUGAGCCGAGAUCGCGCCACUGCACUCGAGCCUUGGCCACAGAGUGAGAGAGGCCCUGUCUCAAAAAGAACAACAAAAAAAGUUCUCCCAUGCUUGAAACUUCUCAAAGCCCCUGCACCCCUAGAAUAAAGUACAAGUUGCUUAGUGUGGCAUUCACAGAUCCUCAUGACUCACCCCAGCCUUCCCUCUGCUGCCCACCUCCCCACUUCUGCACAGUAUCGUGGGUGCCAGGAACACUCCAGCUGCUCCUGGGUACCUGACACACAUGCUGGCUCCAGGCUGCCUGCCUUUGCACAUGAUGAUCCCUUCCCUUUCCUGCUGACAAAUUCUCCACCAGCAAGACUUUGCCUCCUCGGGGAAGCCUUCCCCAAGCACUCCACACAGCUCUCAUUUACAGUGCCACACUCUGGGUCCCACUAAUGCCCCAUCGGCGCUCCUCAGCACCCAGCAGCAGAAUCCCUGUCUUCCUCGAGGCAGCGGAGCCUGAGGCAGAUCCUCUGCAUCUCCACCAUGCCCCUGUUUUCCUCUCAGCCCUCCCCAUCUGCCCUUUCCAGCAGGGGAGAGGAGGGAGGCCUGCAGGGAAGGAACACCUGCUCAUGGGCACCUGCUAUACAGGGCAAAGGGGAAGAAACCUG